Molecule: non-coding RNA, 78 nt
Filed under: unclassified sequences
Source: RNAcentral
UCUGUGGAGAGCUAUGUAAACUGAAUAAAUUUCAUCCUUAGAGAUAAAUGAUUUAUUUGGGGUUCUAAGAAACAGAAA